UACGUAGGGUCCGAGCGUUGUCCGGAAUUAUUGGGCGUAAAGGGCUCGUAGGCGGUUUGUCGCGUCGGGAGUGAAAACACCGGGCUUAACUCGGUGCUUGCUUCCGAUACGGGCAGACUAGAGGUAUGCAGGGGAGAACGGAAUUCCUGGUGUAGCGGUGAAAUGCGCAGAUAUCAGGAGGAACACCGGUGGCGAAGGCGGUUCUCUGGGCAUGUCCUGACGCUGAGGAGCGAAAGUGUGGGGAGCGAACAGG
This 253-nucleotide ribosomal RNA is filed under the name uncultured bacterium. Its description in RNAcentral is "partial 16S ribosomal RNA". It matches the Rfam family "Bacterial small subunit ribosomal RNA", at positions 524 to 776 of the family's 1533-position model. The record is from RNAcentral.